UCAACCUCGACAUUUCAGUCUCGAGCUCAAGAAUUCUAGCACUCCACCCAAGAAUAACUUUCUCCUUAUUUUGAAGCCUGUUAAUAGCAACCUUACCAGUAGUUACAGCCUAUAAAAAGCAAAAAAAGCAAAAAGUGUAUCAAGGAAACAAUUUCAAAUGGUCAAGGAAAAAUACUAAAAACAACAACAAAAGUCACACCUUGUAGCCGAGGGUAGCCAUAAUCCUCGCCAAAUGGUCAGGUUCAUAACAGCGCAAGGACUUUUCAUAUUCUACAAAAUAAAAGUGAAAAUCUUAAGCAAAGGUCACAUAAGAAAAGAGAGGCAGAAGAGAAGUCCCAUAAAUACUAACCCUCGGGAUCAAAAUAACUGCCCCGGGUGUCACUUUGAACAGAAGCCUUAACCCUCGUAGGAGUUUGAGGAUUUUUCUCUUCAUCUUUAGCAAGUUCACCCUCCUCAAGAACCUUGGAAGAAACAUUGAUCUUAGAUGUCUCCUUCAAAGCUACUUCCGCCGUCUCACCUACAACCCAAAGUGAGUCCCUCGAUCCCCAUAGUAGUGGAGGAUUGAAUGGAUCAUCGUCCUCACCUAACCCGGC
This 593-nucleotide long non-coding RNA is filed under the name Setaria viridis. RNAcentral describes it as "long non-coding RNA (SVIR_LNC004084)". Lineage: Eukaryota; Viridiplantae; Streptophyta; Magnoliopsida; Poales; Poaceae. The record is from RNAcentral.